RNAcentral lists this ribosomal RNA (766 nucleotides) under uncultured bacterium. RNAcentral's name for it is "bacterial SSU rRNA". It matches the Rfam family "Bacterial small subunit ribosomal RNA", at positions 154 to 916 of the family's 1533-position model. The record is from RNAcentral.
AAACUUGGGCUAAUACCGCAUGAGCCCUGAGGGGGAAAGCGGGGGAUCUUCGGACCUCGCGCUAAGGGAAGAGCCUACGUCUGAUUAGCUAGUUGGUAGGGUAAAGGCCUACCAAGGCGACGAUCAGUAGCUGGUCUGAGAGGACGACCAGCCACACUGGGACUGAGACACGGCCCAGACUCCUACGGGAGGCAGCAGUGGGGAAUUUUUCGCAAUGGGGGCAACCCUGACGAAGCAAUGCCGCGUGGAUGAAGAAGGCCUUCGGGUUGUAAAGUCCUUUCGUGGGGGACGAAAAGGCGGGUCCUAAUACGAUCUGCUGUUGACGUGAACCCAAGAAGAAGCACCGGCUAACUCCGUGCCAGCAGCCGCGGUAAUACGGGGGGUGCAAGCGUUAAUCGGAAUCACUGGGCGUAAAGGGUGCGUAGGCGGUACGUUAGGUCUGUCGUGAAAUCCCCGGGCUCAACCUGGGAAUGGCGGUAGAAACCGGCGCACUAGAGUAUGGGAGAGGGUGGUGGAAUUCCAGGUGUAGCGGUGAAAUGCGUAGAGAUCUGGAGGAACAUCAGUGGCGAAGGCGGCCACCUGGCCCAAUACUGACGCUGAGGCACGAAAGCGUGGGGAGCAAACAGGAUUAGAUACCCUGGUAGUCCACGCCCUAAACGAUGAAUACUAGAUGUUUGGUACCUAGCGUACUGAGUGUCGUAGCUAACGCGAUAAGUAUUCCGCCUGGGAAGUACGGCCGCAAGGUUAAACUCAAAGGAAUUGACGG